This 407-nucleotide ribosomal RNA is filed under the name uncultured bacterium. RNAcentral's name for it is "partial 16S ribosomal RNA". It matches the Rfam family "Bacterial small subunit ribosomal RNA", at positions 30 to 526 of the family's 1533-position model. The record is from RNAcentral.
AUUGAACGCUGGCGGCAGGCCUAACACAUGCAAGUCGAGCGGAGCGGCGGACGGGUGAGUAAUGCCUAGGAAUCUGCCUGGUAGUGGGGGAUAAAGUCCGGAAACGGGCGCUAAUACCGCAUACUAGCAGAUGAGCCUAGGUCGGAUUAGCUCGUUGGUGGGGUAAAGGCCUACCAAGGCGACGAUCCGUACCUGGUCUGAGCGGAUGAUCAGUCACACGGGAACUGGGACACGGUCCAUACUCCUACGGGGGGCAGCAUUGGGGAAUAUUGGACAUUGGGCGAAAGCCUAAUCCAGCCAUGCCGCGUGUGUGAAAAAGGUCUUCGGAUUGUAAAGCACGUUAAGUUGGGAGGCGUUACCAACAGAAUAAGCACCGGCUAACUUCGUGCCAGCAGCCGCGGUAAUAC